This 414-nucleotide ribosomal RNA is filed under the name uncultured bacterium. RNAcentral's name for it is "bacterial SSU rRNA". It matches the Rfam family "Bacterial small subunit ribosomal RNA", at positions 355 to 775 of the family's 1533-position model. The record is from RNAcentral.
UCGAGGAUCUUCGGCAAUGGGCGCAAGCCUGACCGAGCGACGCCGCGUGCGCGAUGAAGGCCUUCGGGUUGUAAAGCGCUGUCGAGGGGGAGGAAAGCCCGCAAGGGUCUGACCUAUCCCUGGAGGAAGCACGGGCUAAGUUCGUGCCAGCAGCCGCGGUAAGACGAACCGUGCGAACGUUGUUCGGAUUCACUGGGCUUAAAGGGCGCGUAGGCGGGUGAUCGAGUCUGGGGUGAAAUCCUCUCGCUUAACGAGAGAACUGCCCUGGAUACUGGUCAUCUCGAGGAAGGUAGGGGCAUGUGGAACUUCCGGUGGAGCGGUGAAAUGCGUAGAUAUCGGAAGGAACGCCGGUGGCGAAAGCGACGUGCUGGACCUUUUCUGACGCUGAGGCGCGAAAGCCAGGGGAGCAAACGG